UCUCGGGCAUGUUAUUUCCAGUGAUGGAAUCCAGACAGACCCGGAGAAACUGGAAGCAGUUCAAAAUUGGCCAACCCCUAAGAACAAAACCGAAGUGCGGGCAUUCCUCGGCCUAU
Long non-coding RNA from Aricia agestis (brown argus), 116 nucleotides. RefSeq lists it as uncharacterized. The transcript has 3 exons. The record is from RefSeq and is a predicted model, not a curated record. NCBI's taxonomy places the organism in Eukaryota, Metazoa, Arthropoda, Insecta, Lepidoptera, Lycaenidae.